UUUAUAAUGUAUUUAAUUAUAUUACUUCAUAACCAAAGAAAUUUGAGUAGAUUUUGGAUUAUUAUUUAUUUUAUUUCAGUCAAUUUCAACGAGAAAAAAUGUUUUCAGCGGAAGAGCAUGUCCAACCUGGAAUGGUUUUCGAAGUCAUCUUAAAUCGAGAAACAGGUGAAAGUUUUGGUCUGAAUAUUGUUGGUGGCACAGAUUCUAGAGAGUUUGGUAAUAAUACAAGUAUUUUCAUAUCAUCCAUUAACUCUCAUGGUCCUGCGGCUUCUUGUAAACAACUGGAUGUUGGCGACAGAAUUUUACAGAUGACAAGAUUUUGAAUGAUGUUACUCAUUCAGAAGCAGUUGAAGCUUUUCGUAAUAGUGGUUUGUCAGUUAAACUAAGGGUUGAGAAGUUUGCUCAGCAAUUAUUUGUUGCAAACCUUUCAGAAACCAACAUUUCAAAUACUACAAUUAGUGGUCGCAUUCGCAACUUUGUAAAUUCAUGGGCAGGGGCUCUUCUAAUUGGUACUACAACAGGAAUUGUGGUGAUGUACACAAUAUCAAAACAUUGGAAACUAAAUCUGAAGUGAUCUUUUCACAACAAGAACUUUGCUGUUACCUUAUACAAUAGACAUUUGGCAAGUUAUAAAUUUAUAAUAUAUAUAUUUUUUGUACAUAUUAAGUGAUAUAUUUGUUGGAUGUUAUAAAGAAAGAACAUUUUCCUUAUUUA
RNA transcript from Xenia sp. Carnegie-2017, 714 nucleotides. It is a transcript of the gene named synaptojanin-2-binding protein-like, with no coding region annotated. The transcript is spliced from 4 exons. NCBI's taxonomy places the organism in Eukaryota, Metazoa, Cnidaria, Anthozoa, Malacalcyonacea, Xeniidae. The record is from RefSeq and is a predicted model, not a curated record.